AAGGGAAACCGAGUCUUAACUGGGCGUUAAGUUGCAGGGUAUAGACCCGAAACCCGGUGAUCUAGCCAUGGGCAGGUUGAAGGUUGGGUAACACUAACUGGAGGACCGAACCGACUAAUGUUGAAAAAUUAGCGGAUGACUUGUGGCUGGGGGUGAAAGGCCAAUCAAACCGGGAGAUAGCUGGUUCUCCCCGAAAGCUAUUUAGGUAGCGCCUCGUGAACUCAUCUUCGGGGGUAGAGCACUGUUUCGGCUAGGGGGCCAUCCCGGCUUACCAACCCGAUGCAAACUACGAAUACCGAAGAAUGUUAUCACGGGAGACACACGGCGGGUGCUAACGUCCGUCGUGAAGAGGGAAACAACCCAGACCGCCAGCUAAGGUCCCAAAGUCAUGGUUAAGUGGGAAACGAUGUGGGAAGGCACAGACAGCCAGGAUGUUGGCUUAGAAGCAGCCAUCAUUUAAAGAAAGCGUAAUAGCUCACUGGUCGAGUCGGCCUGCGCGGAAGAUGUAACGGGGCUAAACCAUGCACCGAAGCUGCGGCAGCGACACUAUGUGUUGUUGGGUAGGGGAGCGUUCUGUAAGCCGUUGAAGGUGGCCUGUGAGGGUUGCUGGAGGUAUCAGAAGUGCGAAUGCUGACAUAAGUAACGAUAAAGCGGGUGAAAAGCCCGCUCGCCGGAAGACCAAGGGUUCCUGUCCAACGUUAAUCGGGGCAGGGUGAGUCGACCCCUAAGGCGAGGCCGAAAGGCGUAGUCGAUGGGAAACAGGUUAAUAUUCCUGUACUCGGUGUUACUGCGAAGGGGGGACGGAGAAGGCUAUGUUGGCCGGGCGACGGUUGUCCCGGUUUAAGCAUGUAGGCGGAUGUUCCAGGUAAAUCCGGAACGUUACUAACGCUGAGGUGUGAUGACGAGGCACUACGGUGCUGAAGUGACAAAUGCCCUGCUUCCAGGAAAAGCCUCUAAGCAUCAGGUAACAUCAAAUCGUACCCCAAACCGACACAGGUGGUCAGGUAGAGAAUACCAAGGCGCUUGAGAGAACUCGGGUGAAGGAACUAGGCAAAAUGGUGCCGUAACUUCGGGAGAAGGCACGCUGAUAUGUAGGUGAAGCCCCUGCGGGUGGAGCUGAAAUCAGUCGAAGAUACCAGCUGGCUGCAACUGUUUAUUAAAAACACAGCACUGUGCAAACACGAAAGUGGACGUAUACGGUGUGACGCCUGCCCGGUGCCGGAAGGUUAAUUGAUGGGGUUAGCGGCAACGCGAAGCUCUUGAUCGAAGCCCCGGUAAACGGCGGCCGUAACUAUAACGGUCCUAAGGUAGCGAAAUUCCUUGUCGGGU
This 1329-nucleotide ribosomal RNA is filed under the name human gut metagenome. RNAcentral's name for it is "bacterial LSU rRNA". It matches the Rfam family "Bacterial large subunit ribosomal RNA", at positions 669 to 1977 of the family's 2925-position model. The record is from RNAcentral.